This is a non-coding RNA of Caerostris extrusa, 111 nucleotides long. NCBI's taxonomy places the organism in Eukaryota, Metazoa, Arthropoda, Arachnida, Araneae, Araneidae. The record is from the annotation of a GenBank genome assembly.
ACAGCCAUACCAUGCUGAAUAUACCGGUUCUCGUUAGAUCACCGAAGUCAAGGUUCAUUGGGCGCGGUCAGUACUUGGGUGGGUGACCACCUGGGAACACCGCGUGCCGUU